Molecule: small RNA, 73 nt
Filed under: Sinorhizobium meliloti 2011
Lineage: Bacteria; Pseudomonadati; Pseudomonadota; Alphaproteobacteria; Hyphomicrobiales; Rhizobiaceae
Description: putative ncRNA
Source: RNAcentral
AGAGCAUAUCGAACUCGCCAGUCGUCAACGGAACCUCUCUUUCAUCAUCCGAAAGCAGUUGGCGGGAACCUAC